CACAAACAUUACUUACAGAACAAUAGUUGGACCCCUGCAGUGCCACUUAGUCAAAUAAUCAAUGUAAAAGUAAGAUUUUAAGAGUAACAUAAUAGUGUAAAGUUUUACUUUUAAAAGCAACGCUUCCAGUCCUGAUUUUAACACACUCUUUGUUCAUAUUUCUUGUGUUGUGACGUGCGAUAACCCCUCUCUUCUUUUUACAGUCGUAGCACUUGCUGAAAGCACUUGGCUUUCUGUUUCAUCUGGGAUGAUGUGCUCUCUCCUCUCUCCGUGAAGACAUUCCUGACGGCCGAGAUAGAAAUAAAGAAGUUUCGAGGCCGACGCAGCACACAGGGGGUGUGUGUGUGGGUACGGUUCGCAGCAAGUCCAGCCGCCCGCACCUGGACCGGGGUGAAACGGAAUAUGAGCUGAAGCCGAGGCCUGCCAGCGAAGAGAGAGGAGCUCAGGGUCAGGGGGAGAAAGAGAGAGAGAAGCUUAAGGAGAUGUUCGCUAUGAAACCCCACAUUUCCUUUGAAGGAGGGACUUGAGCCACUUCUAGAGGUCAGAAUAUCUCAGAAAGUUGAGGAUGACCAGUAAGCAACCACCCAGAACUGCAUAGCAACAGCCUAGCAACCAUCCACAUCCUAGCAUCAUGGUGGAGACUUUUACAUAAGCAAGCACCUCUAAACAUCUGCAUUAUAUUGCAUUAUAUCCCGUCCCUAAGUAUUAGUACAGACACAUGCCUGAAAAAUCAUCAUGGUGGUUUCUCUGCAGUUAAAACCGAAUUCCUGCUGUUUGUGCCAUUGAUUUUGUUGUCAUUUCUGUCUGGAGAGCAGAAACAGUUUAAAUCUUGCCCUCUCACAGUAGCUAUAAACAUAGACUGACCCCAGCCCUCGCGCUGACAUUAUAAAGAGUGUGCCGGUAGUUAUGUGUGAGUCAGUGUUGUGUAAAAACAAACCAAAUGCCAUGGACAGAGCCGCAGUGUGUCAGCAGUGCUGUUAGCAACUGCUUCAGAAACAGCCUGCCUGACAUUUCCUACAAAUGGAUAGAGUGCAAGAGAAAAAGCACAUCCUGGAGGAAAUGGCAGAGUUUUUGACUCCACUGGCCCGUUAGAGAAUAGCUUUCAUCGAUUUGGACCAUAAAGGCAGAGUAGAAUGGUCAGUGUUCAUGUUGCUUUACACUAACCUGCUAUUGGACGCUUGGAGAACAUGACAUGAGUGUGUAUUGCUAUCUCAGGCUAUCUGGCAUGUCAAUAUUAACUUCUUUUGUACAGAAAAGUGUGGUUCUGAUGUGAUCUUUUAAAAACACUAUAGCUACCCAAAAAUGCUCAGGUGUUGCUCUCUUAUGGCUUGGUUUCAUUUUAGUAUCAAAUUGAUCAAAAAUGUGAUUAGAGGACGUUGAGAUGAUAUCUCUGGCCUUUUGAUUGCAUACUUUAGUAUUUUGGCUAAUCUGUAAUAUUGUUGAGAUCUUGAGAUCUCUCCUUUUAUUCUUA
Molecule: long non-coding RNA, 1471 nt
Organism: Cyprinus carpio (common carp)
Lineage: Eukaryota; Metazoa; Chordata; Actinopteri; Cypriniformes; Cyprinidae
Exons: 3
Source: RefSeq, a predicted model, not a curated record